AUUCACUCCACAGGGUCCAAGGAAUCGUUCAAUAAAUCCUUGAACGGACCAUCGUCCAUUCCUGCCAUCCAUCCUUCCAGCCAAGUAAUCAUCCACUCGUCAAGUGGGUCUUUUAGGACUUGGUUUUAUGUAGGGAACUCCCCCUUCAAAGCAGCCUGCUAGAACACGGGACACUCCGGUUGGCGGAUUAUCUCUGAGAGCCUCUCUUGGAGCUGAAACAACGUACCCCAGGUGUUCUGCCCUCUUCCUAACUCUGCCGCCUGAGGCUGCCAGAGCCCCUCAGGCUGCACCUGCCCCCAGGGCAACCCUGAAAAGAACUGGGGACGAUGACUGGUUUCCACAAAGCUUUCCUGAAGGCGUUUUGCUGCAGAAAGCCUGCUCUAGCAGCCAUGAGCAGGAAGCAUGUGCCCAGGAGCCCAGGACCCCAGGAAAACCAGGACACGCUGAUGGUCGCUCACCGCUUAUUCCUUCAACGGACAUUGACCAAGAAGAGACCGAAGAACAUCACCCUGGCUGCUGCAUACAGAACACUUCAUAGGAGGAAGAGAGCCGAAGCAGGGAAGCCUGCUAGAGCAAACCAGGCAAGAGAUGGCUCGGACCAGUGCAGUAGCAGUGCAGAUGAGAUUACUAUGUGUGCUGUGCUGGCUGCUAAGGGCCGAGUGUGGGACUCGGAACCAGUCCUUUCCUUCCAGGAAACACGGAUGCUCGGAAGAGGAGUGUUGUAGUUCCUGCUGAGGACGCUCAAGGGGAGCCAAUGGAAGCACCCAGUGCUCCAAAGAGAGAGGGCUCUACCCUGGGCAGGGUGCUGCCAGACUUCCUCCCUGAGCCAUCCUCCCCCACACCAUGCUGCCGGCCGGUGGACCCAGGACCAGGCAGCACGUCAGCCAUCUCCACAGCCAACAUUCAGAGGAGGGACCAACCCUGUGGGAAAGGUGGGGACAUGGAGACCAGGGAGAAGCAAAAAAGCCAUGUGCCCCAGUUGGUCUCAAAUGUCAAGGCUGCUCAAGAUUUGAAACUCAGGACUUUCCUCCAUUCUGCCUUCCCCAAACCACAGACCUCCCUUCCUGCUCCCUCUCUGCACUUGCUCCGCUUCCUACCCUACCCACCCCCCAGGUGCUAUUCAGUGACAGUCUGCUCAGUCACAUGCC
Long non-coding RNA from Lutra lutra (Eurasian river otter), 1148 nucleotides. RefSeq lists it as uncharacterized. The transcript has 6 exons. The record is from RefSeq and is a predicted model, not a curated record. Lineage: Eukaryota; Metazoa; Chordata; Mammalia; Carnivora; Mustelidae.